RNAcentral lists this transfer RNA (638 nucleotides) under Acinetobacter calcoaceticus. The stretch from base 60 to 133 matches the Rfam family "tRNA". Lineage: Bacteria; Pseudomonadati; Pseudomonadota; Gammaproteobacteria; Moraxellales; Moraxellaceae. The record is from RNAcentral.
ACGAAAGAUUGACGAUUGGUAAGAAUCCACAACAAGUUGUUCUUCAUAGAUGUAUCUGAGGGUCUGUAGCUCAGUUGGUUAGAGCACACGCUUGAUAAGCGUGGGGUCACAAGUUCAAGUCUUGUCAGACCCACCAUGACUUUGACUGGUUGAAGUUAUAGAAAAGAAGAUACAUAACUGAUGAUGUAAGCUGGGGACUUAGCUUAGUUGGUAGAGCGCCUGCUUUGCACGCAGGAGGUCAGGAGUUCGACUCUCCUAGUCUCCACCAGAACUUAAGAGAAGUUCGGAUUACAGAAAUUAGUAAAUAAAGAUUUAAAUCUUGGUUUAUUAACUUCUGUGAUUUAAGUAUCACGGUAUUAAGCAUGACCUGACGAAGGCAUGUUUAUUCAUUAACAGAUUGGCAAAAUUGAGUCUGAAAUAAAUUGUUCACUCAAUAAUGAAGAGAGAGGAAGUAAUUCUGAUCUUGGAAUUAAUUGAGAACUAGCAAAUUAACUGAAUCAAGCGUUUUGGUAUAUGAAUUAGAUUGAAGCUGUACAGUGUUUAAAUACACAGUACUUCAAACUGUAAGAGAUUGAUGAGAAAUCAUUGAUCAUGUCUUAUUACUCCUUGUAGGUAAUAACGACUGUUUGGGGUUGUAU